ACAAACUUGGUCAUUUAGAGGAAGUAAAAGUCGUAACAAGGUCUCCGUAGGUGAACCUGCGGAGGGAUCAUUACCGAGUGAGGGAGCGAUCCCGACCUCCAACCCUUUGUGAACGCAUCAUGUUGCUUUGGGGGCGACCCUGCCGUUCGCGGCAUUCCCCCCGAAGGUCAUCAAAACACUGCAUCCUUACGUCGGAGUAAAAAGUUAAUUUAAUAAAACUUUCAACAACGGAUCUCUUGGUUCUGGCAUCGAUGAAGAACGCAGC
This 265-nucleotide unclassified non-coding RNA is filed under the name uncultured fungus. RNAcentral's name for it is "partial contains small subunit ribosomal RNA, internal transcribed spacer 1, and 5.8S ribosomal RNA". The stretch from base 1 to 73 matches the Rfam family "Eukaryotic small subunit ribosomal RNA", at positions 1759 to 1831 of the family's 1831-position model. The record is from RNAcentral. Lineage: Eukaryota; Fungi.